GAUGAACGCUGGCGGCGUGCCUAACACAUGCAAGUCGAACGAACAGACGAUGAGCUUGCGCCUCUGACGUGAGCGGCGGGCGGGUGAGUAACGCGUGUAUAACCCACCUAUCUGUCGGGGAUAAUCUCGGGAAACCGGAUCUAAUACCAGAGGAUAUAUUGAACCGCGGGGGGCGAUAGUGAAUUACGGCUUUUCGGGCAGGUAUAGAGGGAUCCGCGCUGCAUGAGGUGGUUGGUAAGUUAACAGGUUACCAAGGCUACGAGGCGUAGCCGACCUGAGAGAGUGAUCGCCCACACUGGAACUGAGCCACGGUCCAGACUCCUACGGGACGCAGCAGUAGGGAAUCUUAGGCAACGGGCGAAAGCCUGGCGCAGCAACCCCGCGUCAGUGAUGACGGUCCUGGGAGCGUAAAGACCGGUUACUGGGGAAGAACAACUGUCUCCGUAGACAAGGCGGUAUUGACGGUACCUAAUCAGAAAGCACCGGCUAACUACGUG
This 497-nucleotide ribosomal RNA is filed under the name uncultured bacterium. Its description in RNAcentral is "partial 16S ribosomal RNA". It matches the Rfam family "Bacterial small subunit ribosomal RNA", at positions 28 to 507 of the family's 1533-position model. The record is from RNAcentral.